UACAGAGGUCCCGAGCGUUGUUCGGAUUCAUUGGGCGUAAAGGGUGCGUAGGUGGCGCCGUAAGUGGGGUGUGAAAUCCCGGGGCUUAACCCCGGGACUGCAUUCCAUACUGCGGUGCUUGAGGACUGGAGAGGAGACUGGAAUUUACGGUGUAGCAGUGAAAUGCGUAGAGAUCGUAAGGAAGACCAGUGGCGAAGGCGGGUCUCUGGACAGUGCCUGACACUGAGGCACGAAGGCCAGGGGAGCAAACGGG
RNAcentral lists this ribosomal RNA (253 nucleotides) under uncultured bacterium. RNAcentral's name for it is "partial 16S ribosomal RNA". It matches the Rfam family "Bacterial small subunit ribosomal RNA", at positions 524 to 776 of the family's 1533-position model. The record is from RNAcentral.